This 79-nucleotide transfer RNA is filed under the name bacterium ADurb.Bin270. RNAcentral describes it as "tRNA-Pro". It matches the Rfam family "tRNA". From Rfam's summary of the family: Transfer RNA (tRNA) molecules are approximately 80 nucleotides in length. Their secondary structure includes four short double-helical elements and three loops (D, anti-codon, and T loops). The record is from RNAcentral.
UCGGGGUGUAGCUCAGCUUGGCUAGAGCGCUUGCUUUGGGAGCAAGAAGUCGCUGGUUCGAAUCCAGUCACCCCGACCC